This is a long non-coding RNA of Neoarius graeffei (lesser salmon catfish), 663 nucleotides long. RefSeq lists it as uncharacterized. Lineage: Eukaryota; Metazoa; Chordata; Actinopteri; Siluriformes; Ariidae. The transcript has 3 exons. The record is from RefSeq and is a predicted model, not a curated record.
CCCAGUGUUGAAUUAACACCCAGAGUGUUGAUUUAACACCCUACUGUGUUUAUCCAAUUGGACACAAAUUAACUCUGAAAGUGUUAAUUCAACACUGAGGAAUUUGCUGUGCAGCUAGAAAAGAACAACAACAAGAAGACAGAGUCAUCUAUAUCCCCCGCCCUAUAUACCAACUAUAUACCAAGUUUCAAGAUAUUAUUUGUCACAUUUUUCAAGUUCUGCUGCAGGAAACCAAACCAACCCUACCUCUUUAUACUGACCUCAGCAGCCCAUGGCAUAAACCCACAGGACCUUUGGUCCAGCGCGGGUGUGGUCAAGCACAUCCAUUUGCGACCGGAGGGCAAGGCUGUGGAAGUGUCAACCCCAAUCAGGGAACUGUUACACUGGUGCAGAAACCCAAGAAGCUGAAGUGAACCGCUGUCCAUGAAGUCCUUGCCGUUGCCCAAUAGAACCAGCACCAGGCGCUAGUCACUAAGCGAGCAGGAGUGGCACUUUGAGGCCCUGCUGCAGGCCCAGCAGGAGGACCACCAAGCACUCCUGUGUCUCGUCAUGCCAUGACAGCAGGCUUCCCCCGCAUCACCCCGAUGAAAAUGGGGCCACAUGAUGACCCAGCGACCUUUUUAGCGCUCUUUGAGUGAGCAGCGGCGGUGGUCGGAUGAUCCU